AGUGGAAUUGCUGGAUCGCCUGGUGACUCUAUGUUUAACCAUUUAAGAAACUACCAAGCUAUUUUUAAAAGUGGCUGCACCAUUUCAUGUCCCCACUAGCAAU
Molecule: microRNA precursor, 103 nt
Filed under: Marmota monax (woodchuck)
Lineage: Eukaryota; Metazoa; Chordata; Mammalia; Rodentia; Sciuridae
Source: RNAcentral